Molecule: ribosomal RNA, 514 nt
Filed under: Munidopsis sp. 2 PCRF-2022a
Lineage: Eukaryota; Metazoa; Arthropoda; Malacostraca; Decapoda; Munidopsidae
Description: partial large subunit ribosomal RNA
Rfam family: Bacterial large subunit ribosomal RNA
Source: RNAcentral
GUCUCUAUGAAGUUGUAUAAAGUCUGGCCUGCCCAUUGAAGAAAUUUAAAAGGCCGCAGUAUUCUUGACUGUGCAAAGGUAGCAUAAUAAUUAGUUUUUUAAUUGAAAACUUGUAUGAAAGGUCGGACAAAGAAAAAGCUGUCUUUAGUGUUUUUUUUUAACUUUACAUUUAAGUGAAAAGGCUUAAAUACUUAAAAGGGACGAUAAGACCCUAUAAAUCUUCACAUUUAAGGCGUAUUUUGAUAAUUUAGAAAAGAAAUAAUUUAAAUAAGUAAAAAUGUUGUGUUGGGGCGACAAAGAUAUAAGUAAAAACUGUUUUUUUAUAAAAACAAAUAUGUUUGAUUUUAUAAUAGAUCCUUUAUAAAGAUUUAAAGUUAAAGUUACUUUAGGGAUAACAGCGUAAUUUUUUUUGAGAGUUCUUAUCGAAAAAAAAGUUUACGACCUCGAUGUUGAAUUAAAAUUUCCGUUUGGCGCAGCAGUUAAAAAGGAAAGUCUGUUCGACUUUUAAAAUUUU